UAGAUAGGCAUGCGUUCCAUUAGGCAGUUGGCGGGGUAACGGCCCACCAAACCGACGAUGGAUAGGGGUUCUGAGAGGAAGGUCCCCCACAUUGGUACUGAGACACGGACCAAACUCCUACGGGAGGCAGCAGUGAGGAAUAUUGGUCAAUGGGCGUAAGCCUGAACCAGCCAAGUCGCGUGAGGGAUGAAGGUUCUAUGGAUCGUAAACCUCUUUUAUAAGGGAAUAGAGUGUGGGACGUGUCCUAUUUUGUAUGUACCUUAUGAAUAAGGAUCGGCUAACUCCGUGCCAGCAGCCGCGGUAAUACGGAGGAUCCGAGCGUUAUCCGGAUUUAUUGGGUUUAAAGGGUGCGUAGGCGGCCUUUUAAGUCAGCGGUGAAAGUCUGUGGCUCAACCAUAGAAUUGCCGUUGAAACUGGGGGGCUUGAGUAUGUUUGAGGCAGGCGGAAUGCGUGGUGUAGCGGUGAAAUGCUUAGAUAUCACGCAGAACCCCGAUUGCGAAGGCAGCCUGCCAAGCCAUGACUGACGCUGAUGCACGAAAGCGUGGGGAUCAAACAGGAUUAGAUACCCUGGUAGUCCACGC
This 581-nucleotide ribosomal RNA is filed under the name uncultured bacterium. RNAcentral describes it as "bacterial SSU rRNA". It matches the Rfam family "Bacterial small subunit ribosomal RNA", at positions 222 to 800 of the family's 1533-position model. The record is from RNAcentral.